UGCGAAUGCUCUCAGCCUUGUCGCAGAAGAAAUUGUUUUUGUUUUUCCUAUAGCAGAAAACAGAAGCCAAAGAAGAAAGACGAAGGCGAGGGACGACCGUGCAAUAACGGUGUUCUCUCCGGACGGGCAUUUGGUUCCAGGUGGAGUACGUACGCCUGCGAAGCUGUCCGCAAAGAUCGGUUAGGAAGAUCGUGUCAUUGGACGGUCACGUUGCGCUGGCCUGUGCUCUGAAAUUGGACUGAAAGCAGAUGCUCGUGUCUCGAUAAACAGAGCACGCAUUGAGUGUGAAAACCAUAGGCUAACGGUUGUGGAUUCUGUAACUGUUGAAUAUGUAACACGUUAUAUAGCGAGCCUGCAGCAGAAGUAUACGCAAAGUGGUGAUGCAAUUAUAAACAGAACUUUGAUUGCAGUUUUUGACCCCUACACUGGCAUCCCAUCUCUAGAUUUCUCGGGAGCAUUUCAACCAUGGAGAGCCAAUGUGACGGGGAGAAACUAGAAUUGGAUGAGGGAGUUUCUAGAGCAGAAUUAUAAACAGAACUUCUGUACAUAAAACCGUGAAGUUGUACAGAAUUUCUUGUGGAUUUGUUUGUUAAGUUUCCAUCUUGUGGAUGUGUUUGUGUCUGUCUAUAUGCGUGCAUCCGUUAGUGAAUCAUGGACUUUUUCUUUGGGUGUGUAUUAGGAUCACUUGAAAAGAAACUGUUUUAAUGGUUGAUGGAUAAUGUCACAUCAAUCAAAUAUGAUAUUAGAUGAGAAUAUAAUAUAUAACAUUUUUUUUUCCA
Molecule: long non-coding RNA, 779 nt
Organism: Carya illinoinensis
Lineage: Eukaryota; Viridiplantae; Streptophyta; Magnoliopsida; Fagales; Juglandaceae
Exons: 2
Source: RefSeq, a predicted model, not a curated record